This 401-nucleotide ribosomal RNA is filed under the name uncultured Sphingomonas sp. Its description in RNAcentral is "bacterial SSU rRNA". It matches the Rfam family "Bacterial small subunit ribosomal RNA", at positions 355 to 774 of the family's 1533-position model. Lineage: Bacteria; Pseudomonadati; Pseudomonadota; Alphaproteobacteria; Sphingomonadales; Sphingomonadaceae. The record is from RNAcentral.
UGGGGAAUAUUGGACAAUGGGGAAACCCGUGAUCCAGCAAUGCCGCGUGAGUGAUGAAGGCCCUAGGGUUGUAAAGCUCUUUUACCCGGGAAGAUAAUGACUGUACCGGGAGAAUAAGCCCCGGCUAACUCCGUGCCAGCAGCCGCGGUAAUACGGAGGGGCGUAGCGUUGUUCGGAAUUACUGGUCGUAAAGCGCACGUAGGCGGCUUUGUAAGUCAGAGGUGAAAGCCUGGAGCUCAACUCCAGAACUGCCUUUGAGACUGCAUCGCUUGAAUCCAGGAGAGGUCAGUGGAAUUCCGAGUGUAGAGGUGAAAUUCGUAGAUAUUCGGAAGAACACCAGUGGCGAAGGCGGCUGACUGGACUGGUAUUGACGCUGAGGUGCGAAGCGUGGGGAGCAAACA